Small nuclear RNA from Phyllostomus discolor (pale spear-nosed bat), 171 nucleotides. RefSeq annotates it as U1 spliceosomal RNA. The record is from RefSeq and is a predicted model, not a curated record. Lineage: Eukaryota; Metazoa; Chordata; Mammalia; Chiroptera; Phyllostomidae. The transcript has a single exon.
AUAGGUACCUGGCAGGGGAGAUACCAUCAUCACAAAGGUGGUUUUCCCAGGGCAAGGCUUAUCCAUUUCACUCCAGAUGUGCUGACCCCUGCAGAAAAGAAAAGAAAAAGAAAAAGAAAGAAGCAGGGACAGCUCCAGGCUUCUGUAGAGGGAGCUCUGAAACCAUCCCUC